AAACAUGCAGGUUACCGUGUUGAUAUUUCGCUGAAUGCUGUUCUGAAGUGGGGUGUUUGGGGCCUCGGAGGCCGGCGCCCCUGUAUUGUGCUGGGGGAGGGACUGGCCAUUUGAAGUCAAGUGAAGCCCAGUGAGACAGUGGAGGAGAGGGGUCAUGCCACUGCAGUUCCUCGCUAUGCCAUUCAUACAGAGCAUUCUCCAUGCUCAGGAGUCCAGGAGUCCAGUGGGCCCAUGAUGCCCAGGAGCUCGUCGAGACUCAGGGAGCAAAACAGAUCCAUUGAAAAUGACACGAGAAGGAACGAGAGAGCAAGGAUGAUCCAUAGCUCCCUGCCCUUUCAUUCAGCCUCAUCAUAAGCCAAAGGUGCGGAAGACCUACUUAAAACCUGAGAGUCUCGAAUAGGAGAGGCGCUUUCAGAUCAGCCCGAGUCUUCUGCAGCGCACAGGAGCUAGUCGUACUGAAAAGAAUGAAGUUGGACUUGUCCAGGCGAGUUUCGGACAGUGCUGGGCUGCCCUGCUCUGAUCUCCUGGGUGUCUUCACCUCCUCUGGUUCCUAAGUCGGCUGCUGCACCAGCACCCAUCAAACUCUCCUGGAAGAGGAAGUGACAGCUCACCGGUAGCCUAGAAGGCCCCUGUGGGCAGAAGCAUGGACUUACUCCUCCUCAUGGAGAUGCGGCUGAGCCAUAUUUCCUUGGCACCUCUCUGGAACCUUCGACAACCACCACCUCAGACACUAACCAGACUUUAGGUCCAUUCCUUUCAUGGCUAAAAUGAGACAGUCCACAAUGUUGAUUUUAUUUGUAGGGGAUGUCAGGAUUCCAGAAAAGCAGACUUGGAAAGCAACAAAACGUUAACUUGCAGCUCACUGAGGCCCUUACACUUGUUCUGGGCACCUCUGUAUGUUAAAAGAAGUCCAAUAUCUUUAGCUGCUGGUUAUAGGUGGCCAUAUGUUUCUGCACAGAAAUGGGGCUCCCCUUGCUAGACUAAUUUUCUAAUUUUUCCUCAAGCUUCAUUGAUUCAUAUUCUUCUACUUGACCCUGACUGUCAGGACCAACAACACCAAAUAACACCAAAGUCUCUUGCUCCUGUCCUCAGAACCUCUCAGAGGCAUCCUCUGCCCUGUUGGAGCCAUUUUAUUUCAGGUUGAUCCUUAAUUAAAUUCAGCGA
Molecule: long non-coding RNA, 1164 nt
Organism: Homo sapiens (human)
Lineage: Eukaryota; Metazoa; Chordata; Mammalia; Primates; Hominidae
Product: long intergenic non-protein coding RNA 2036
Source: Ensembl